This 63-nucleotide transfer RNA is filed under the name unidentified. RNAcentral's name for it is "Spelaeomysis bottazzii tRNA-Asn". The record is from RNAcentral.
UUGAUAGAAGCCAAAAUAGAGGCUUAUUUCUGUUAAAAAUAUCAAUGAAUUAAUCCUAUCAAA